Long non-coding RNA from Cheilinus undulatus (humphead wrasse), 638 nucleotides. RefSeq lists it as uncharacterized. NCBI's taxonomy places the organism in Eukaryota, Metazoa, Chordata, Actinopteri, Labriformes, Labridae. The transcript is spliced from 3 exons. The record is from RefSeq and is a predicted model, not a curated record.
AUAAGAAGUUUUACACGCCCAGAAACACGAAAACUGCUCUUAAUAUUCCCAAGUCUCGUCUGACCUUUUCACUAAAGUGGUCUUGAGAUAUUGGCCUCACAAGCAAGGGAUGAAUAUGAAGCCCACUGCCCUUGACCUAUGACCUACGACUCCGAAAUUAGUUCACCCUGAAGUCAGAGUGGACAUUUAUGCAAAAGCUGAAGAAUUCCCUCAAAGGUUGUUGGGAUGUCGCUUUCACAAGAAUGACCAGGACAUACAUGUAUGGAGAGAGGACUCAUUCUUCAAGGACACAAAGGAGUGAUUCUGUGCAGACGCAAGGCUUGAGUCAUUGAUGGAGCCAUGGAGGGUCAGCCGCUGGGUGAAGAAGCAGGCCUGUUGUGAUGGACAGGAUCAGGGCGGGACAAACAUAGAGAUGAAAAACACAGACACUGGAGAGAGACUGCUGUUGUUAGGCUACAUCAUUGAGGUCAGCUAGUACCAGAGUCUGUUCUAAAAAAAGACACAGAAACACCAACACACUCCAGGGUUUGGGAGUAAAAUAAAAUUAAAUGGUCAGAAUGUAAAGUGCUGGGUGCACCAGAGGAAUUCUGUACGGUCUGUUUCUGUGCAACUGAACCGUCACAAAGUCACACAUUCCA